GACCACGCAGAGUGGGGCUUGGCCCCUGGUCCUAGGCAGGGCAGCCGAGAAAGUGACCUUUCCCUGCCUGCCUGCCCCUGCCUCUGCUUUCUCUGGGGUGCUGAAGAAGGAUACUUUAGGGGGAGCUCACGUUUUAAAAAAGACAUCUUCUUCCUGGCUAUGGCCCAUUUCUCCUGAUGGAGACAGUCCACAUUGGCAUUAAGCAUGAAAGCAAGAGGAGACUUGACAGAAAAGAAAACGUCAGAGGCCUGCCAGCCAGACUACUGUGGGGACAGGAACCAGCAAGGAGGAGCAAGAAGCAGGGCCUGCUGUGCCCAGGAAGGAGGACGAGCAGGGAUGCAGCUCAUCUUCGCCCCGCACGGGGCGCCACCCGCGUGGCUUCAGGCCUGGCCAACAAGCCACAAGCCAGGGCCGAAGGAUCUGCAGAAAUAGUGGUGUUUCUUGGCAGCCCCAGCACUCUCUAAUCCCCUCACACAGAGUGACUCUGGGACAAGGCACUUCAGCAGCUCCGGUUGACAAACGGGGGUCAAGGCUGCCUGUUAUAUCUCACCGAUCUGCUUUUGAGGGAAACGUCCACCAGACAGAUACAUUAUCUGGAGAACAGCGCGGGGAGCGAAGCUGAUUUACUCAGGCCAGCCCCACAAGGACGUGUGAGGAGGGGCCGCGGAGCUUGGGUGGCUGGGGCAUGAGCUCAACGGAAAGCAUAAUCUCUCUUAAACGAAGCUUUCAUCACAUCACUCGCCUGAGCGAGCGCCUGCAAGGGCUCUGCCGCUCAGGGAUCAGAGCUAAACACCUGCACACUCCUCUGGCUGCAAAUCCCCUACCGAUCCCCACGCCGUGCCCUUCCCACACCAACAAGAGGCCACCAGAGUCUGAGGCUGCCCAGCACAGUCUGAAGCGAUUUAAACUUUCUAGGCCUCAGUUCCUUCUUCUCUAAAAUGGAGAGAAUAGGGGCGCCCGGGUGGCUCAGUCGGUUAGGCAUCUGCCUUCGGCUCAGGUCAUGAUCUUAGAGUCCUGGGAUCGAACCCUGCAUUGGGCUCCUUGUUCAGCAGGGAGCCUGCUUCUCCCUCUGCUUGUGCUCCUGCUCGCUCUCUCAAA
RNAcentral lists this long non-coding RNA (1098 nucleotides) under Vulpes vulpes (red fox). RNAcentral describes it as "lncRNA (ENSVVUG00000018085.1)". The record is from RNAcentral. Lineage: Eukaryota; Metazoa; Chordata; Mammalia; Carnivora; Canidae.